GAGAGAGAGAGAGAGAGAGAGAGAGAGAGAGAGAGAGAGAGAGAGAGAGAGAGAGAGAGAGAGAGAGAGAGAGAGAGAGAGAGAGAGAGUAAUAAAAAUGUGUCUUAUUCCUGUCCUGUUCAAUUUAAAAUCACACGUCUUAAACCUAUAAACACACACACACACACACACACACACACACACACACACACACACACACACACACACACACACACACACACACACACA
This is a long non-coding RNA of Portunus trituberculatus (swimming crab), 228 nucleotides long. RefSeq lists it as uncharacterized. Lineage: Eukaryota; Metazoa; Arthropoda; Malacostraca; Decapoda; Portunidae. The transcript is spliced from 2 exons. The record is from RefSeq and is a predicted model, not a curated record.